RNAcentral lists this transfer RNA (77 nucleotides) under Bacteroidota bacterium. RNAcentral describes it as "Bacteroidetes bacterium (activated sludge metagenome) tRNA-His". It matches the Rfam family "tRNA". From Rfam's summary of the family: Transfer RNA (tRNA) molecules are approximately 80 nucleotides in length. Their secondary structure includes four short double-helical elements and three loops (D, anti-codon, and T loops). Further hydrogen bonds mediate the characteristic L-shaped molecular structure. tRNAs have two regions of fundamental functional importance: the anti-codon, which is responsible for specific mRNA codon recognition, and the 3' end, to which the tRNAs corresponding amino acid is attached (by aminoacyl-tRNA synthetases). tRNAs cope with the degeneracy of the genetic code in two manners: having more than one tRNA (with a specific anti-codon) for a particular amino acid; and 'wobble' base-pairing, i.e. permitting non-standard base-pairing at the 3rd anti-codon position. RNAcentral also lists the same sequence under 1 other name. The record is from RNAcentral. Lineage: Bacteria; Pseudomonadati; Bacteroidota.
GCGAUCGUAGCUCAGCUGGUUAGAGCGCUGGAUUGUGGAUCCAGAGGUCGGUGGUUCGACCCCACCCGAUCGUACCA